RNAcentral lists this ribosomal RNA (386 nucleotides) under Synopiidae sp. BOLD:ADF7680. RNAcentral's name for it is "partial 16S ribosomal RNA". The record is from RNAcentral. Lineage: Eukaryota; Metazoa; Arthropoda; Malacostraca; Amphipoda; Synopiidae.
GUAUGAUGGUUGAAUAUUAAUUAACUUUAUGUAUUUUAAUUAAAAUAAAUUUAUAAUUGUAGUUAAAAUACUUCAUUAAACUAACGGGACGACAAGACCCUAUAAGUUUUAUGAAUCUUUUUAAAAAAAACUAAUUUUAUUAAAAUUUAUUGAGCUGGGGAAGUUAAAAUGAUAAUUUUAUUUUGAAAAUUUAUAACUAAUUAUUAGAACUCUGAUUGGAUUUAUAACCAUAACUAGGUAAAUUACUUUAGGGAUAACAGCAUAAUUUUUCUAAAGAGAUCUCAUUGACAGAAUAGAUUAUGACCUCGAUGUUGAAUUAAAACUUCUACUAGAAGCAAAAUAAUAGUUAAGAAGGUUUGUUCAACCUUUAAAUUUUUACAUGAUUU